CAAAAUCCCCACCUAACCAACCGCUACACACCAACUCCGUAAAUCCCAUAUACACUAAACCCUUUCCAGCCUCUACGCACCAAUAUUGGGUUAUGGUGGACCCAUCCAACAAUACACACCAUAGAGUGGUCGUUGCCACUUGUAUUAUUGCAGGUUUACCGUUAAUUAUGCAGUUCAAUUACCACAAACAAACUUUCUUUUCUUC
RNAcentral lists this long non-coding RNA (205 nucleotides) under Gossypium raimondii (Peruvian cotton). RNAcentral describes it as "long non-coding RNA (GRAI_LNC000315)". The record is from RNAcentral. Lineage: Eukaryota; Viridiplantae; Streptophyta; Magnoliopsida; Malvales; Malvaceae.